RNAcentral lists this ribosomal RNA (340 nucleotides) under uncultured Chlorophyceae. Its description in RNAcentral is "partial Bacterial large subunit ribosomal RNA". It matches the Rfam family "Bacterial large subunit ribosomal RNA", at positions 188 to 583 of the family's 2925-position model. The record is from RNAcentral. Lineage: Eukaryota; Viridiplantae; Chlorophyta; Chlorophyceae.
GGGAACUGAAACAUCUAAGUACCCAGAGGAAAAGAAAUCAAUUGAGAUUCCCCUAGUAGCGGCGAGCGAACGGGGACCAGCCGAGCCAUGAUUGUGAAUAGAACGUGUUGGGAAGCACGGCCAUAGUGGGUGACAGCCCCGUAUAUGAAGCAUGAUUGGACGUAUUAAGUAGGGCGGAACACGUGAAAUUCUGUCUGAAGAUCGGAGGACCACCUUCGAAGGCUAAGUACUCCUUACUGACCGAUAGCGAACCAGUACCGUGAGGGAAAGGUGAAAAGCACCCCGACGAGGGGAGUGAAACAGUACCUGAAACCGAGCGCCUACAAUCAGUCGGAGCUUG